RNAcentral lists this long non-coding RNA (212 nucleotides) under Lathyrus oleraceus (garden pea). RNAcentral's name for it is "Pisum sativum (pea) long non-coding RNA (PSAT_LNC038975)". The record is from RNAcentral. Lineage: Eukaryota; Viridiplantae; Streptophyta; Magnoliopsida; Fabales; Fabaceae.
GAAUUUAGCGCUAUGUUAAGCAAUCGUAAUUGGACUUAUGUAGAAGUCACAACUAUCCGAGGUCAGUCAAUAAUAAUGUUUGUGUUACUACAUGCUGGAGAAAUGAUAUGUAAAUCAUCCUCCUUAAGCUAUGCCACACAAGAAAAGAAAAAGAAAGGGGAUGAUCAAGCACAAAGGCUAUGAGGAUGGUCCAUUCCUUCAAUCCAUAUUUC